GCUGCUCUAUAAAUAAUCACACACCUCUCCGCGGUGAGCAGCAGGCAACGAUAUUAUGAUCGGCUGAGAUGUGAUA
RNAcentral lists this ribozyme (76 nucleotides) under unclassified sequences. RNAcentral describes it as "HDV ribozyme from F. prausnitzii". It matches the Rfam family "HDV ribozyme from F. prausnitzii". The record is from RNAcentral.